AUUAUUUUGGAAAUAAUCUAUUAGUGUACAUAAGUAUGCAAAUUUUGAUAUUUUCAGAUGAUACCAUUAUAUCCAUUUUCUUAAUUUGCAAUAAAAUAAUAAGAUGCCAAACAUGACCUGUGUUACAUAAACAGUCAACAAAAUAACAAGACAAUACCUAUAAACACCCCUUUUCACACCACUAACAAUAAACAGAUAACAAUCUGUCAGGCAUUCAGAGCUAAACAUGAGGGUACUGAUUAUCAGGGGCAGAUAAGGCUACUGAUAGGGUUUGCCCAGACAUAAGGCUGGAAUGAGGUAUAAGACUUCUGAUUGGUUCAAUUUUUUGCACAGGAAAUUAUUUGAAAACAACAACUUUUGAAAAACAAGCUGGUUUCAGCAAUUGAAUUGAGCUUAAUUAAAUUAACAUUAAGACUUAUAAUUGUUCUGUAAAAUGUAUUGAAAAACUGUCAGCAUGAAGUAUUGUGUGAUGAAAACAAUGUGUAUUUUACUACAAUUUGGAAAUCAACAAUAAGUUUGUUGGAAAAGAAGUUCAACUGUUUUUUUUUGGAAUACUGAAGAACAGUUUUAACAGGUUAAACUCUUGCCCCAAGAGCAAAAGGGGUAAUCAUACUACCUGAUGUAUGGACUUUUACACCAGGCUUUUACCCUGCACGAGCUGGCCAACUUGAGGGGAACUGAAGUGGGCAAACCUCGCCCUCACAGUCCUUGAACAAUAAAGCUGGAUUUGUUGAGAGAGUAUCAUUUAAGCUGAAAUCCAGCAUGAAACCAGGGAGGUGAUGGCCAUCGCACAUGCCAUGUGCCGACUAUUCACUUUCCACCAGCUUGUGACUAAUGCUCCAUGAAGGGAGCAACAACUACAACUGGGUCACCAAGACCAAGCCUCCCCGCCGCUGAGAGAA
Molecule: long non-coding RNA, 902 nt
Organism: Dreissena polymorpha
Lineage: Eukaryota; Metazoa; Mollusca; Bivalvia; Myida; Dreissenidae
Exons: 3
Source: RefSeq, a predicted model, not a curated record